This 404-nucleotide ribosomal RNA is filed under the name uncultured bacterium. RNAcentral describes it as "bacterial SSU rRNA". It matches the Rfam family "Bacterial small subunit ribosomal RNA", at positions 355 to 775 of the family's 1533-position model. The record is from RNAcentral.
UAGGGAAUAUUGCUUAAUGGGCGAAAGCCUGAAGCAGCAACGCCGCGUGUGUGAAGAAGGCCUUCGGGUUGUAAAACACUUUUUGAGGGAAUGAGGAAGGACAGUACCCUCAGAAUAAGCCUCGGCUAACUACGUGCCAGCAGCCGCGGUAAAACGUCGGAGGCGAGCGUUAUCCGGAUUUACUGGGCGUAAAGCGCGUGCAGGCGGCACGGCAAGUAGGAUGUGAAAGCUCCCGGCUUAACUGGGAGAGGUCGUUCAAAACUGCCGAGCUAGAGUGCGGGAGAGGGAGGUGGAAUUCCGGGUGUAGUGGUGAAAUGCGUAGAUAUCCGGAGGAACACCAGUGGCGAAGGCGGCCUCCUGGUCCGCAACUGACGCUCAGACGCGAAAGCUAGGGUAGCAAACGG